This is a long non-coding RNA of Symphalangus syndactylus (siamang), 1928 nucleotides long. RefSeq lists it as uncharacterized. The record is from RefSeq and is a predicted model, not a curated record. Lineage: Eukaryota; Metazoa; Chordata; Mammalia; Primates; Hylobatidae.
CCACACGUGGCCCUGACCUCCGCAGAGGGCUGCAGGAAGGAGCUCAAUGCGGAACCGCGAAGGCUGCUGCAGCCCUCAGAUCUAACGCCUUUGACGCGUUGGAGCUUGUCAGCGAUAAAACCUGACGUGUGAAAGAAGAACAAAGGGAAGUCGGAAGGCUAGUGUAUAUCAAAGGAAAGGGGCUCCACGAAAUGCUACAAAGAAAUACUUCAGCCCAAAAUGUUUUCGGAAUUUGAGACGCUGAUGCAGCCGCCGCUGCUCCACCUGCAACUCUGAGCGUUGCCUUCUCUUUAACUGCCACUUUGAUACCGCAGCCUUUUGAAGUGCUUUUUCCUACAUGUAUUUGUAAUUUAUUUCUGCAACAGCUAGAACUUACUGUGGCUGCUGUUUACCCUCUAGUUGGGCCCUACUGCGAGGCAAGGUAAAAGUCAGGUCCGUCUGCGCCCUCUCCUGGUAAAGCUGUGAAGCUGCAGCAAACAGAGCCAAAUUGGUAUUUUCUCGUUCGCUGCAGCAAAUUUUUAUUAAAGUUUACCCUAUAUUUAUGAUUAUUAAACUUUAAUGUUCGCCAGAAUGGCCUGCAGGCCUCCUUAAAACAAGAUGUCUAAGCCCCCACCCCCACCUUCCCCUCGGAUUUCUGAUUCACUAGGUCUGGAGUGGAGCACAAUAAAUUUGCAUUUCUAGCAAGUUCCCAGGUGAUGCUGGUAGAACACACGCCCAGAACCACCGCCAGGUACACAAGUCACUGGACAAGGUGGGAAGGCAUCUUACCCAAUCAACGGACCUUAUUCUAAAACGGGAAGGGCACUGAGUGAGAUACAGUGCCUACAACAAUGCAAAGGCUAGAAGAUAUGAAGGCAGGGACAUGGAAUGGAGAAUUUCCAUUUCAUGGAUCCACAUAAACUGAAAAGGAACAAGAGUAGGUGAGACCAAAGAGCACUGAAGGCCAUGAACCAUCACCAUUCUCAACUCCUGGGCCAGGCAAGAAAAGCCACAGUUCCUGGAAGGGGUGACGACAGCUUUAUUUACAGGAGUUCCUACGAAAAUCAUGGCAUCUUGGGACAUCUGAGGAGAGAGAAAAGAUGGCAAAAGCAGAGGCAAAGACAGAAAUAAAUCUUCUCUUCUUCGGUUUGUCUGACAAGCUUAUCCUUUGAUCACAAGGGAGGAAGAAAUGGAUGACAAGAGGAAUUUCCCCCACUACAAUAUGAGUUCCAUAAAAGCAAGGAUUUAUAUUUUCUUUCUCUUUUGUUCACUGAUAUAACCUCAGUACCUUGGACAGUCUCUGGCAAUAGGGAGAGCUCAGUAAAUGUUUGUUGAAUGAAUGAAUGAUCCCCUUCUCUAGGCAUAUGAAGAAAUAAGGAAGAGUGGUCACUCACAGCUAACUCAAGAUUCCCCUCCCACCCCAAUCAUCUACCCUGUUAAUUCUUUUUCAUCCUUGUUCAAAAAAUACCUAGAGGCUGGACACGGUGGCUCGCUCCUGUUAUCCCAGCACUUGGGGAGCCAAGGUGGGAGGAUGGCAUGAGGCCAGGAGUUCAAGACAAGACUGGGCAACAUAGGGAGACCCCAUCUCUACCAAAAACAAUUCUUUUUAAUUAGCUGGGCAUGGUGGCACACAGCUGUGGUUCCAGCUACUUGGGAGGCUGAGGUGGAAAGACUGCUUGAGCCCAAGAGGUCAAGGCUGCAUUGAGCCGUGAUUGAGCCACUGCAUUCCAGCCUGAGCAAGACCUUGUCUCAAAAAAAAAAAAAAAACCAUAAAAAUAAUUCUCAAAGAGCCCUGCUUUGUAUUAUCACACUCUAGCAAAGUUAUCAGGAAUUGACACUUGCGGGUAGAUACAGCCAAGGAAAUGGCAGCUCCCUGAAGAGCAGGAAGCAGUUUAUGACACCAAGCAAAUCUGGUUUCUCCCUGGGAAGGGAGGCUGGUUUUGGAAGUA